RNAcentral lists this long non-coding RNA (210 nucleotides) under Gallus gallus (chicken). The record is from RNAcentral. Lineage: Eukaryota; Metazoa; Chordata; Aves; Galliformes; Phasianidae.
CACCAGGAUGGUUACAAAGGUCACCAGGAUAUCAGACACGUUACCGCCCUUAAUACAAGAAACUGUGCUUACAACAGAGUUGCACCAGAAAGUAAACUAGCAGCCCUUCCAGACCAAAAGCAGCAAGUUUUGGGGAGCCAGCAACUUGCUCCCUGCACAUGGAAGAGCCAUGAGCCAUGGUAUGGGGGCCACAGCGAGCAAGAGAGCAGG